UACCUGAUUGAUUCUGUCAGCGCGAUAUGCUCAAGUAAAAGAUUAAGCCAUGCAUGCUUUGAUUCAUAAAUGAAAUUGCGUACGGCUCAUUAGAGCAGAUAUCACCUUUCUCGGAAUCCUGAAAAGGAUAACUGCGGAAAUUCUGGAGCUAAUACAUGCGACUAUACUCCAACGCAAGGCGGGGUGCAAUUAUUAGAACAGACCAAACGUUUUCGGACGUUGUUUGUUGACUCUGAAUACCCUCGUUUACUGUCAGUUUCGACUGACUCUAUCCGAGAAGGGUGUCUGCCCUUUCAACUAGAUGGUAAUCUAUUGGACUACCAUGGUUGUUACGGGUAACGGAGAAUUAGGGUUCGACUCCGGAGAGGGAGCCUUAGAAACGGCUACCACGUCCAAGGAAGGCAGCAGGCGCGAAACUUAUCCACUGUUGAGUAUGAGAUAGUGACUAAAAAUAUAAAGACUCAUCCUUUUGGAUGAGUUAUUUCAAUGAGUUGAAUAUAAAUUAUUCUUCGAGUAGCAAGGAGAGGGCAAGUCUGGUGCCAGCAGCCGCGGUAAUUCCAGCUCUCCUAGUGUAUCUCGUUAUUGCUGCGGUUAAAAAGCUCGUAGUUGGAUCUAGGUUACGUGCCGCAGUUCGCAAUUUGCGUUAACUGUGGUCGUGACUUCUAAUUUGCUGGUUUGAGGUUGGGUUCGCCCUUCAACUGCCAGCAGGUUUACCUUGAAUAAAUCAGAGUGCUCAAUACAGGCGCUUGCUUGAAUAGCUCAUCAUGGAAUAAUGAAACAGGACUUCGGUUCUUUUUGUUGGUUCUAGAAUUGAUCUAAUGGUUAAGAGGGACAAACCGGGGGCAUUCGUAUCAUUACGCGAGAGGUGAAAUUCGUGGACCGUAGUGAGACGCCCAAUAGCGAAAGCAUUUGCCAAGAAUGUCUUCAUUAAUCAAGAACGAAAGUCAGAGGUUCGAAGGCGAUUAGAUACCGCCCUAGUUCUGACCGUAAACGAUGCCAUCUCGCGAUACGGAGGGUUCAUGCCCUACCGAGGAGCUACCCGGAAACGAAAGUCUUUCGGUUCCGGGGGUAGUAUGGUUGCAAAGCUGAAACUUAAAGAAAUUGACGGAAGGGCACCACAAGGCGUGGAGCUUGCGGCUUAAUUUGACUCAACACGGGAAAACUCACCCGGUCCGGACACUAUUAGGACUGACAGAUUGAAAGCUCUUUCUCGAUUUGGUGGUUGGUGGUUGCAUGGCCGUUCUUAGUUGGUGGAGUGAUUUGUCUGGUUUA
Caenorhabditis japonica is the source of this 1272-nucleotide non-coding RNA. Lineage: Eukaryota; Metazoa; Nematoda; Chromadorea; Rhabditida; Rhabditidae. The record is from Rfam.